UGGGAGCAGCCGCGGUAACACGGGGGGCGCACGCGUUAUUCGGAAUUAUUGGGCGUAAAGGGCGCGCAGGCGGUCUUGUCAGUCAGGUGUGAAAGCCCGGGGCUCAACCCCGGAUGGUCACUUGAAACAGCAAGACUUGAGUACUGGAGAGGAAAGCGGAAUUCCUGGUGUAGAGGUGAAAUUCGUAGAUAUCAGGAGGAACACCGAUGGCGAAGGCAUCUCUCUGGACCGAUAUUGACGCUGAGGCGCGAAGGCGUGGGUCGCGAACGGGAUUAGAUA
This 279-nucleotide ribosomal RNA is filed under the name uncultured bacterium. Its description in RNAcentral is "partial 16S ribosomal RNA". It matches the Rfam family "Bacterial small subunit ribosomal RNA", at positions 506 to 784 of the family's 1533-position model. The record is from RNAcentral.